This 22636-nucleotide long non-coding RNA is filed under the name Coffea arabica (coffee). Its description in RNAcentral is "long non-coding RNA (CARA_LNC002483)". The record is from RNAcentral. Lineage: Eukaryota; Viridiplantae; Streptophyta; Magnoliopsida; Gentianales; Rubiaceae.
GGGCAGGCGGGGACCGGUCUGAAAUUCAACAGUGUGGAAUUCGGCUUCUGCUGGAGCGUUUCUGAUGUCACUGACUACCUGCUUGCCAUUAAUACUCAUGAUGAUAAGGGCCCAUAUUGCGACCCAGCAUUGGUUUCUGAUACACUGAAGAGCAAUGCUCACACUUAUGAGCUCAUCUGGUACAAUCAUAAGAAAAAGUAAUCAAGCACUACUCUUGAUCAGCUGAGUGGGGAUCGACGACUUUAAGUACUUUAAUUAUCUAGUGUUUAUGGUGUGGUUUUCAGUUUAUGCAUGGAUGAUGUACUGCUGGCAUGCAAACAUCCUCCCACUGUUGUACUAGUAUGCAAUGUAAGGUGCACUUCUACCAACAAAAAUGCACCGUUAAAUAAAAAAAUCCGUCUGUGUUUGAGUUUGUGUCCUUGUACUAAUAUGUCAAAGGUGCACUUGUACAAACAAAAAUGCACCAUUGAAUAAAUAAAAACAGCUGUACGAGUUUGAGUUUGUAUCUGUGUAUUUUGUUUCUCUGUUACCUGCAAGCAACUAUCAAUCCCUGAGUUUGUAUCUGUGUAUUUUGUUUCUCUGAUAACUAGUUAAGUAUUACUUAAGAUGAAUCCAAACCUUAAAAAGAAAUGAAAGAUUAGUUGAUACAUUGGGAGUAAGACAAGCCGAUGACGUUGUGGUUCUUCUUUGAAGUAUAUUUUGGAUGUUCUUCAUAAAUAUGAAGACUGUUCAGGCCAGCGAGUUAACAAAAAGUUGUUUCUUGACCCAUCAGCGGUUGAAUGUGGCAAGACGACGAGUGAUCAAAACUGUCACUGGGAAUUCAUAUGCAGGCCAUAGCUAAAUUUCCGUUUUUGGAUCUCUGUACAACUGGUACACGUAAAAUUUGUCAGCUAAACUCCGCCACCAAUUGUUCACGAUAUGCAGGAUGGAUGUUCUGGACAAGAAUAUAAAGAUUAAAAAGGGGACUACGAUUAUCAACAAGAAUAAAAUUGGAUUUAGAAAAAACAUGGUUGAUUACUCGUAUGAUUUGUGCCUAAUGAUAAUUACGAAGCAGAAGAAGAAAAAGAAGGGAAAAAAAGAAGAAAGAAAGGGUUGGAUUGUUGCACACACACAUACAUACAUACAUACAUAUAUAUACACACAUGCAUAUAUAUACAUACGUAUAGGGGAGAGGGAUGGGUUGGGUGAUACAGGGGAAAGAAGUGCAAGCGAAGGUCUCGGGUUCGAGUCCUCCUACUUACACUAAAAAAAACAUAUGUAUAUAUCCUUAUACUAUAUAAGAAUGAAUUUAGGGCAAAGAUUUCAAUCCCAAGGAUGGGGCUAUUUUGGAAAUAUGAGAGUAUUUGAGGUGAAAUUGGAAUAUUUAAUAUGAAUCAUUAUAACUGAUUUGGUUUUUUUUUAUAAUUACUUAAAUGUCCUCUCAGACAUUUAAAGCUAUGAGUAAGUUUAACAUGUGACAGUAUUCGAUAUUCAAUUAAUUAUUCGGUACAAUUGAAUUCAGCUUGUGUUUUAGUGAAAUUACAUAAAAAUCCUUUUAAUCAUUUAAUUGUAUUAACAUCUACGUCUCUUAAUUUCUUAAAGCCUUUCUCAACAAUUAUUUGCAAACUUAUGAUAUAUAGAUGUUAAGACACAAGUUUGGUUUCUUGGCCGUUACCAUAGUAACCCCCAUCUAUCCAAAUUCAUUUCAUUUACCUAUAACUUUGUUCCACUACAAUCAUGUAGUCUAUUGAAUUCAGAUGUUGCUAUAUUAGCUACUACUCUUUCCCAUUUUGCAACAUCUUUCUCAAUAGGUUUGUUUUCUUUAGCUAAUCUACUUUUUUGGUUGUAAGAAAUUUGCAAUCUUGUAAGUUGUAUGUGCAAUAAUUUUUUUAGUGUUUUAAUUCAAUUGCCCAUGUUAGAUUGGCUUGAUAGGGAGGAGAUCACAUUUAUUAAUUGUUAUUUGUGGUUUAGAAUAAGUUUGUCAUCAUAAAUUUUUUCAUUAAUAGAUUGCAUCUACUUCUUUUGUUGUUUUAACUAUUAGUUACGAUAAUUUUCAAAUCAUUUGCUACUUUUUUUAUGAUUCCAUUUAGGCAAUUUUUCACUUCAUUUGAUUUGCCAAUAUGUUUAACUAUCUACUUUAAAACUAUUUGGCUGCAAAUCUAAAGUAUGUACUUCAUUACUUUUAAUUUUUUUCUUGAAUUGAGUGGGUUAAGAUGUUUUAGUACUUUUUUGAGGUAAUUAUUCAUCUAGAUUAGCGUGUUAGUUAUUGUAUAUCUUUGCAACUAGGUCAAAAACUGAUGUUUUGUGAUUGUAACCCCUAUCGAGAAAGAGAUGCUUUGCUAUAUGUCCUAAAUCAUACAAUAAAUCAUAAUUAAUUGAUUUGUCAAUGUGGAGCUUUCAUGAUGAUAUGUCAUUGGAAUCAAUAUAAAUCCAAGAAUUUGGCUUGCAAGAACCGAAAUUCCACUAGCAAUGAUUUCUUCAAGUAUGCUAAUUUUUCAAAUCUCACUUAUAUGACAAGAUAAUGAGGUAGACUGCCCUCAAAUCAAGAUCAAAUUCAAACUUAACGACAAAAUUUAACAUCCCUAAAAUGCAUGAGUAGAUAUAAGUAGAUCUUUUAUUCUAUUAGAUUAGACGCAAAGUGAUUAAUCGUAUUUUAUAAUUAUAUUUUGUUGCAUAUUAUUUUUUUCACUCAAUAUGUAAUUUAUGAUUUUUCUAUUUAAUAUCACAUAAUAAAAUUGUCAUACUUCAAUUCUUAUGCUACAAAAUACUAAAUAAUAAUUAUUAACUAUCUUUACUUAAUACUAAAUAAAAAUUUUUCCCCUAGUAUAUAUAUAUAUAUGUGUGUGUGUGUGUGUUAACGAGGCUACAUUCAAAUUUAAAUUAGGAUGAUGUGCCAUGUAUCCAAAUUAAAUCUACUAAUGUAUAUAAUGAUAACGUGGUAGAUAUAUAUUUUUUUUUAAAAAGCAUUUUUCUUGAGAUAUAAAGUAUGCAGCCUUCUUUAUCCUGAAAGUAAGAUCACUAUUUUGUGGAUGAGGGCAGUCCAAAUGGGCGGGUCAAGUGGUUGCCUGAAUUUAAUUAGGUACCAGGUGCAGAUAGGUGGACCAUAAAACCCCAUUUAAUUAAUGGGUUUGGUAGGGUUAUGUAAACGUCUUUUUAGUCAAUGAAAGCUUGACUACGACCCAUUCAUAAUUUUUGGUUACUCUCACUCGACCCGUUAACUUCUGUCCAAGCUCAGGCUGCAUUUCUUAGGCAUCCAGCUUAAAACCCCAAAUUAAAAAUUAAAGACCACCUGGUAAUUUCCCUUUGGUUCUCAAUGCAGGUGGAUGUAAUGGGCUUUGAGGAUAUUUUAACUUUUAAUUUUGGAUAUUUUAACAUUUAAUGUCCCCAAAACCCAGCAAACCUGGAAAGAACAUUAAACAUGUAAUUUUGAUGUCUGUAAUUUGACUAUCAGUACUUCAUAUUAAUGGAAUCAUAUCUUAAUAUAUUUAGACUGUUUCAUAAUAAAAAUUGAACAUUUAAAUUAAUUAAAUGACACUAAAUUUUCUAGGUAAAAUUUGUGAUUGCAUGUUUGUGAUUGGCCACUAUAGACAUGCCCUUAGUGCUUGUAUUAAACUAAAAAGAGAUAUACAACCGUGCACUAGAUAAAUAAACAUAUUUAAUCUAAUUAUGAGAGUAAGUUAGCAGUUGUAUGACGCAAUUAUAUCACCUAAGAUCUUAAAGGGUUUAAUUAAAUACUUAUGAUCUCGAGAGAGACAUGCGAUUUAAUUAAGCAUAACUUAGGUAUAUCUAGAGAUAAUCUAAGGUAUUUGCGUGUAAUACAUUGUUGGCAUGUUGGGAAAAAUAAUGGGAUGAUUAAUUUAAAUUUUGCAUAAAAAUCUAAAACCCUAGACUCUUGCAAACCAUUUUCUCAACUCUAUUUAAUUUGCCUUGAUUAUUUGUUCAUUUUUUUUAGUUAUAGAUUGAAACCCCUAUGAAUUUGAAUUUUAUUAUUUGUCUAGAAUAAUUAAAGUAGAGAAAAUUAACUCGUUCAUCUAGAUUCUAUUUUGGAAUACUACAGGUAAUUUAUUACUACAAUCGAUCCUAUGUGCUUACAGGAAUUCAUUGAUCAAAAUGCAGUGUUGGCAUCACCCUCUUUCAACCAUUUGACUCUCGAUUUAUCCUUAUAAAAGCUCUCCUCAACUUGCAUCCUCAUUCAUAGUCUGUAUAUGAUUUUGCUUUCUCAAUAUAAAUUUUGGCCAACACAAUUCCAAAAAGUUCCUAAAUGUCCCCAACACGGUUGGUGAAAAGCCCCAAAAGUCCUUAUAGUUACCUUCUAAACUCAAUGUAAUAUCACUGCAGCUAAGCCUGUAGAGGUUUUACAAAUAUAUGAUUUUGAGUUUAGCUUAAGUCUAUCAAUAAAACGAUAAAGAAUAUAUUAAAAUCUUUGGUUAUCCUCCUUAUUUUGAACAUUAUAAAUGUUGUUAUUAUUUAUUAUGAGUUUACUAUAAAAAUUUAAAGAAGUAAAAAAUUAUAAAUUCAUAAAUUAGUGAACUAAAGAUUCCCUCUUUGAAGAAAAUAAAUUACUUAAGUCCUAUUGCAAGAUUUACCAGAAAAAGAACUCUAACAAGGAGAGUAUAUGCCGAGUUACUAAAAGCAUAGACAAAUAAAAAGGACACAAGGAUCAGGAAAACAUCUUUGUUUGGAUAUGAAGUUAUUUGCAACAAUAAAAAAAAAAAAUUAAUUGCAUCAUAAAUCCGUUUUCUAAUUAUCUUUUUAUCUUUCUAGCCACCUUUUUAAUCUCAUAUCUAUCAUAUCACAAAGAGUGUUACGAUGUUAUUCCAAAAUAUUAUUCCAAAUAAUUUCCUAUUCGUACGCACUCAAAUAGUUCAAUCUUCAAUAAAUUAUGCAUUACCCUAUAUGCAGAUUCCUAGAUUACAACAUAAACCCCAAUUUUAGAUUCUUUUCUUCUUUCAUCCUUUCAAGUUCUUGAGUUGCACCACAUCUUUUAACUACUGUUGUAAUUUCUCAAGUUUCUAAUCAUCGCUUUGUUAGUCCACCAUUUCACUUCCAAUUGAUCUUGUUCAUUUUACCCUACAAAACAAAGAGAUUUUGCGAGUAAAAUGACAAAAUCAUAGUUAAUUCAUCUAUCAACUUAAGGUGCAAAUCAAAGACUAAAAUAAGCAACUUGCACCAUUUAACUUCACAAAUUGACUCAAAAACAAUAUAAAGCACCUACAGAAAUAUCCACAACUUGAGCUUAUAUCAGAAACGAACACUUUUUAUACUUCUGGCAUGGUUCUUAUAGAAUGAGUAGCGUAGUUUCGUUAAUUGGCAUGCAUAAUGGCUGUUUUUGAACAUUCGAAUCUACAUUAUCUUCACAAUAGAUUGUCGUAUUUCCAAAAUGAGAAAGCUGCUUUCUUUCAUUCGGUUCAAUACAUUUUUUGAUUGUUGGCAACAAAGUUUUGCAAUUUGGCAUUGAAACACAACUUCUUGACGUUCUCUUGCUUUUAUUGUGUAAAAAUGAUUACAAACCAAUGGAAUUUCCAUUUAAAAAUUUAAUAACCAAUUAAGAAAAUGACUUGCUCUUUUGGUGUAAUUGUUAAUCAUCUUCUUUUACAUCAACUCAUUAAGAAAUACAUGAAAUCAAAUACAAAAUGCAUAUUCAAGCUGAAAGUUUUUUUUUUAUUUAUUUUAACCCUCCCUCCCUUCUCCACACUCCAUCCCAUCCCCAACUGUCAACUUCAGGAUUCAAACUAUAAACCUGGUAGCUCUUAGCCAUUGGACCAAUCUUGCCUAGUUGCAUCAAGCCAAAAGUGGGAAGGAUGGUAAAAUAAUACGAUAAAAUUACAGGCUUAGCUAUAGUAAUUAAGGUUACGUUGGUGUAUAUUUUCACGCCGACCUCAUCAUGGACGUGUAAAAACGUGUUCCAUGCUGGUGGACCAUGAUUUUUGUGAUUCGGUCCUACAUCAUCACAAAUUACUUUAUGGGGUACAGAAUCACAUUUUUAGGCCCAUAAAUACAAGGAGUCUGGUCCUCUGCGACCAAGUUUUCGAUAGUCGCAAGUUUUCGAUAGUCACCAGUUACAAAUAUCUAUUUCCAUUCUUAUUAGUGUUUGAGUUUGUGUCCUUGUACAAGUAUGUCAAAGCUGCACUUAUACGAGUAAAAUGCACCAUUAAAUAAAUAAAAACAGCAGUCUGUGUUUGAAUUUGUAUCUGUGUAUUUUGUUCCUCUGUUACUUGCAAGCAAUUUUCAAUCCCUGAGUUUUGUGUGUCAACUAGGUACUAUAUUCAUGACUAGUUAUGAAGUCUAAUAACUAGUUAAGUUUUACUUAAAAUGAAUCCAAACCUGAAAAAAAAAAAAAAAGAUUAACUGAUAAACAAGCUCUAGUCAAGGAUAUAAUUUCGGAAGUGAUUCAUACACCUGCUCAUUAAUGCAAUAAUUAUUUCAUUUAUUUGUUAAUAAACAGGUUAAAGUUGCCAAACAUGUGAUGAUAACCAACUUUUCCUUAAUAUCUCGAUAGUUAAUGUACAUUCAUUAACUACUUUCCUAAUCAAGAAACAACUCUAGGUACGUCCGUAUAAUUUAAUUUAUUGAUUGCAUUAAAAACUAGAAAAGUAAUGUUUUAAUCAAUAAACACACUAUUGGAGUUUAUUUAAAUUAGAUCAUAUGUUUCUCUAACAUGAAACCAAUCACAUUAGUCACCACUAAUUUAAGACAAUUAAACAAUUAAGAAUUUAACUAUCCUAACUAUCAUUAGAUUGUUAAGUUGAAUUAAAUAUCAAACACUCAUGACAUUCAAACAAUCAAACAAUCAUGAGAAAUUAAAUAAAAAAACAUACGAAUACUAACGAAUAAAAGAAAUAGAUAAAAACAAUUAGAUCUCAUAGUUGCCGAUGAAUCCUUCGUUACUCCUUGACUAGAAAAAGAAAAUUUAGCCACUUAUCACUACGAAUAAUCCAAGCAAUUUUAUUGAUAAAUGUUGCAUGAAUAUUCAACAAAAGCAAAAAACAGGAAAAGGCGGAGAGAAAAGCUCUUCGUUUGGUUUAUGCUUGGUGCCUAGACUAAUAGUCUCUCGGUACCCGAAACAAAGUCUUAAAAUCACGAAGGCCAAGAAUCCCUCCUACUCACGUCACCAACGUUUCCUGCUAUUACUACUACCACUAAUACAUCUAAUCUCCUCUAAUUUUUCUCCGAGAGAAAUAUACCCAUAAUUUAACAAAAGGUAAGUUACUUGUUUCUAAAUACAAAACGAAAACCAAUUAUUUUGGAAAAGGAAACCACUUCACAGAACUUCAAUUUGAAUUGGAAAAUUGCCACGCGCGCCAAAUCUCGAUCUCUUCGAACCCGAGGCUAGAAUUAGGUGCGGUCACACAGAACACACCAAGAAUCUUCAUUAAACCAAUUUUUACUCCUUUUCUUGCCAUAUUCCUGAAAUUAGCAUCAAUUGCCAAAUAUACUUUUUACUCCUUUUCUUGGCCUAUUCCUAAAAUUAGCAUCAAUUCUCAAAUAUAAAUAGAAUCCAUCAAUUAUUACAAUAUUUGGUCAAAAUUAAAGGAAAAUAUUCAUAAAUUUAAUAGCAAUUACAUACCCUAUCACCCUCCACUCUUUACACCCCUUCCCAUCCCCAACUAUCAACCUCAAGAUUAGAACUAUGAACCUGAUAGUGGGGGAGCUCUUAGCCACUGGACCAACCCUACCCAGUGGUAUCAAGCCAAAAGUUUGAAUGAUGAUAAAAUAAUAACAUAAAAUUAUAGGCCUAGCUAUAAUAAUUAGGUUACGUUGGUGUAUAUUUUCACACUGACCUCAUCAAGGACGUGUAAAAACGUGUUCCAUGCUGGUGGACCAUGAUUUUGGUAAUUAGGUCCGGCAUUACCACAAAUUAAUUUAUGGUGUAGAGUAUCACAUUUUUAGGCCUAUAAAUUCAAGGAGUCUGGUUCUCUGCUACCAAGUUUUCGACACUCACCAGUUACAAGUAUCUAUUUCCAUUCUUAUUAGUUAGCUAGCUAGUCCUUUAAGAAGAAAAUGGCCGCAGCCAAAUCUGGUAUUGGCAGUGGACAGGUGAAUAGUGACUGUAUGCCUUGCUAGACUGGAUUUCUUUGUUUUUCAAGUUUGUGUGUGCAUGGUUUUCGGAGUCAACUUAUAAACAACACGUAUAGAAACGUUUGAAAAAGUAUGAGGAGUUGCAAAUUAAAGUAACUUCAACAUUCUUGAGUCGACUUGAUUAGCAAUAUUUUAUGUUUCUAGUUGUCUACAUGCUGCGGUCUCUUGAAUUGUUUGAUAAAUAAGCUUCUUCCGAGCAAUGUCGUUUCUUAUUAAUUGAUUGGUUCGAUUUAGUUUUCUGGUUGUUCCUUUGUUUGAAAGGACUCUAACUGAUUUUGGGAACUCAAUUGUGUUGGGUUUUCUUACUGAAAAAUGUUUGGGGUUUGCAGAAAGACGAACCUAUUAUUCCUAUGGCGUCAACCGUCAAUCCGAACGACGAUGUGGUGAUUCAGAAGGCAAAAUUUGCAGUUGAUAGUUACAAUGGGCAGGCGGGGACCGGUCUGAAAUUCAACAGUGUGGAAUUCGGCUUCUGCUGGAGCGUUUCUGAUGUCACUGACUACCUGCUUGCCAUUAAUACUCAUGAUGAUAAGGGCCCAUAUUGCGACCCAGCAUUGGUUUCUGAUACACUGAAGAGCAAUGCUCACACUUAUGAGCUCAUCUGGUACAAUCAUAAGAAAAAGUAAUCAAGCACUACUCUUGAUCAGCUGAGUGGGGAUCGACGACUUUAAGUACUUUAAUUAUCUAGUGUUUAUGGUGUGGUUUUCAGUUUAUGCAUGGAUGAUGUACUGCUGGCAUGCAAACAUCCUCCCACUGUUGUACUAGUAUGCAAUGUAAGGUGCACUUCUACCAACAAAAAUGCACCGUUAAAUAGAAAAAUCCGUCUGUGUUUGAGUUUGUGUCCUUGUACUAAUAUGUCAAAGGUGCACUUGUACAAACAAAAAUGCACCAUUGAAUAAAUAAAAACAGCUGUACGAGUUUGAGUUUGUAUCUGUGUAUUUUGUUUCUCUGUUACCUGCAAGCAACUAUCAAUCCCUGAGUUUGUAUCUGUGUAUUUUGUUUCUCUGAUAACUAGUUAAGUAUUACUUAAGAUGAAUCCAAACCUUAAAAAGAAAUGAAAGAUUUGUUGAUACAUUGGGAGUAAGUCAAGCCGAUGACGUUGUGGUUCUUCUUUGAAGUAUAUUUUGGAUGUUCUUCAUAAAUAUGAAGACUGUUCAGGCCAGCGAGUUAACAAAAAGUUGUUUCUUGACCCAUCAGCGGUUGAAUGUGGCAAGACGACGAGUGAUCAAAAGUGUCACUGGGAAUUCAUAUGCAGGCCGUAGCUAAAUUUCCGUUUUUGGAUCUCUGUACAACUGGUACACGUAAAAUUUGUCAGCUAAACUCCGCCACCAAUUGUUCACGAUAUGCAGGAUGGAUGUUCUGGACAAGAAUAUAAAGAUUAAAAAGGGGACUACGAUUAUCAACAAGAAUAAAAUUGGAUUUAGAAAAAACAUGGUUGAUUACUUGUAUGAUUUGUGUCUAACGAUAAUUACGAAGCAGAAGAAGAAAAAGAAGGGAAAAAAAGGUUGGAUUGUUACACACACACAUGUAUGUGUGUAUAUAUUUAUAUAUGCAAGUAAGAUCACUAUUUUCUGGAUGAGGGCAGUCCAAAAGGGCGGGUCAAAUGGUUGCCUGAAUUUCAUUAGGUACCAGGUGCAGUCUGCAGAUAGGUGGACCAUGGAACCCAUUUAAUUAAUGGGUUUGGUAGGGUUACGUAAACGUCUUUUUAGUCAAUGAAAGGAUGACGAUGACACAUUCAUAAUUUUUUAUUAGGGAAAAUCAUUCAAAACGUUUCUCAUAUUACAAAAUAACUUUUUUGGUUUCUUAUUUUUAAAAGUAUAAUUUUACGUCCCUUAUAAAUUCACAUUAACCAAAUUUGGUCUCUACCUAGAUUUCCGACUAGUUUUUAGCCAGAAUCUACCACGUGACUUGCAUGUGAUCAUUGUUUAAGGACAAAAUUGUCAAAUCAAAUUUUUACAUAAUCUGAUUCAUAGUCCCUCACAUUUUCACAAAAUGAAUUUUUUCAUCCCCAACAUUUUACAAAAUGAAUUGUUUCGUUCCUCAUAUUUUAAAAAAUGAAUUUUUCCAUCGCUCACAUUUUUCAAAAUGAAUUUUUUCAUCUCUCAUUGAUCAUGUAUACGAAUAGCUUUUUUUUCUAUAAACCCACGUAUAUGUUUAUUUGAUUUUAUUUAAACAGUAUGAGUAACAUGUAAUUUAUCUCUAUUGGAUUUCAUCUAAACAGGCUAAUCAUAGCUAUACACAUGCUAUUCAAUCGAUAUAUAUAGGGGUUUAAAACUAAUAAUUUUGUUUGAAACCCACUUAUAUAUUUAUAUGAUUUCAUCAUUUGAACCUAUUCAAUAUUUUUGACCUUUCUCUUUUGGUAAUAAUUUAUUUAUUGAGUUGUAUAAUAAGGUCAUAUAAUUAAUGGGUCCUAACUCGAAUUCUAUAAUUAUGUUAACAAAUUUCAGUUUAAAUCUGAAAUUUCUACUCGACACUUUUAAGACCAACAGUUGAAUUACUUGUAUUGUGAUUGUCUUAAAAUUUGAAAGUGCUAAUCACUUAUUUCUUUUUGUCAUACUUUUCUUUUGUUUACUUUUUCUAUCCAAAUUUAAUUCGAUAUAAACACUUGAUAAUAUUUAGGAUUAAAUGCCAUCUUUAUUUUCAAAUUUCGAGUUAAAGAAAAUGAAUAUACGUGAAAAACUUAAAAUUUUUUUAAACACAUGUAUAUAUCUAUUUAAUUUCACUUGAGCAGUACGAGUAGUGUGUACUAUAUCUCUAUUUGAUUUCGCAUGCUAUUCGUACUGUUCAAGUGAAAUCAAAUAGAUAUAUACAUAGAUUUAAAAAAAAUUAUUCACACAUAUGAUCAAUAAAAGAUGAAAAAAUUCAUUUGGAAAAAUGGGAAGGAUGAAACAAUUCAUUUUGUGAAAUAUAAGGGACGAAAAAUUUUAUUUUAUGAAAUGUGAGGGACUAUGAAUCGAAUUAUAUAAAAUUUGAUUUGACAAUUUUGCCCUUAAAAUAUGAUCACGUGCAAGCUAGGCACGUGGUGAAUUCCGACCAAAAACUAGUCGAAAACCUAAAUAGGGACAAAAUUUCACCAAUGUGAAUUUGUAAGGGACGUAAAAUUACAUUUUUAAAAGUGAGGGAUGAAAAAAGUUAUUUUACAAAAUGUGAUGGACGUUUUGAACGAUUUUCCCUUUUGGUUACUCUCACUCGACCCGUUUACUUCAGUCGAUGCACAGGCUGCAUUUCUUAGGCAUCCAGCUUAAAACCCCAAAUUAAAAAUUAAUGACCACCUGGUAAUUUCCCCUUGGGUCUCAAUGUAGGUGGGCUUUGGGGAUAUUUUAACUUUUAAUUUUGGAUAUUUUAACAUUUAAUGUCUCCAAAACCCAGCACAGUUGGAAAGAACAUUAAACAUGUAAUUUUGAAGCCUGUAAUUUGACUAUCCAGCAUUUCUUUCACUCCUCACUUUAUUUUCAACACUGCACGAGCUAAUCCAACUUUCUUGCAGUACCCUCUCACCAAUUCAUGCAUUACUAGUGUAUUAUCUGCUAUACUUCUUCCUAUUAUAAAGCACUCUGAUAUUCAUCAAUGAUUCGAGGAAUUAAACUUUCAACCUAUUAGUUAGCAAUGCUAAAUCGCAUUUACAUAGCAAACAACAGCAGGCUGUAGGCUUGAAAUCCCUCAUUUGUGUUGUAUUCCGCAACUUUGGGACCAGUGUAAUUAUAGUACUAUUUAAAGGAUAAUGCAUAUACUUCUUGUCAAAACAAGAUUGAGCAUCUCGAAUUACUUCAUCACCAAUUACAUGCUAAUUCUUCUUUAAAAAAAUUGUGCACUAAAGCCAUCUGGGCUUGGAGCUUUACCGUCCUUCAUAGCAAACAUAGCAUGUUUAAUCUCUUCAGCUGACACACUAGCCUGGAGAAAGUCGAAUUGAUCACUAGUGAUGGUUUUGGCAUUUAUCUGUUGCAGCUUGCCCUUCAAAUCAGGGUACUAAGAGUUAGAUUUACUAAACAGAGUCUGAUAAAAUUCCCCUGCAAUUUCUUUAACUUGCUCAUGGUCCUCAACAACAUCAACUUCAUCAUUUCUAAGAGAGAGUAUCUUAUUCCUGGCAACAUGACCCUUCAUCUUUCUGUAGAAAAAAAGCAGUAUUUUUGAUAGGGUAUGAAUUGCAUUAUCUUUAUAUGUACAAAUUGCUAGUUAACGGUGAUAGUUGAGCUACAACUUGAAUAGAAAUUGUUUAAUUUUGAUCUUAUGUUAUUUUAAUAGGUAGAGAGCUCAAUUGGAAAGAAAAUGGACCAAUCUUGGCAAGACAAUCAAGAAAAGCAGCAAUAAAAGAAGAAGAAGAAUGAACAAACAAGGGUUGCUGGAUUACUAAGGAUCCAUAGGCAAAUCCAUAGCGAUCUGUGCAUGUAUUCUCAAUAACCGGCUCCAGAUGUCAAAAUGGUCUUCACAUUGAACUUCUUCUGGUUGUUAUGGUUUUGAGCUUCACCCAAUGACCGGCCCACGGAAAUUAAUAAAAGACUUUAAUUUAUUAAAAGAAUUUCUAUAUUUCUUUAUUUUUCUCAAUAUCCCAAACAAGAUCUAAUAAUAACAUUAAUUAUUAAUGGAACAAACGAGGGGUUAGGUCUGAGGGUCAAUUGGGCAUGAGAGAGGGGGUUGGUUGUUCUUUGAAAAGAUAUUCAUCAUCUGAUUGAUGAGUCAUAAUAAGACAAUUUGCGGUUAAUAUACUUACUAAGUAGGAAUCUACUACUCUAGGAAUAAAAAUUUCAGUUAUCAAGGUGAGUUUAUGGGCCAAUAAAUAAAAGAUUUUUAUCUUUGUAACCAAUUGCAUUGGGGUGGGACAGUGCAAGAGAUAUCAUACAAAAGAGAUUGAAUCCUCUAAAAAUGCUAUGAAGUGCUCCAAAAUGGUCGAAGUAGUUGAAUAGAAGGAUCGCUAUGACUAUAGCCCUUGGUAAAUUUACCAAAGGCGAAAAUGAUUUAUUUGAUAUUAUGAAUGAUUGGUUACGUAGAGACCGUUUCCUUCUUCAUCUGGAAUUGGUGCCUUCGCGAUUUUUUUCAACUCCAAGAAGUCUAACCCUAUCAUAUUUGGACUAAAAUUUUAAGAAACUAUAAAUAGGAGUUAUUUAGAUUAUUUUUAGGGGAAGAAACACAUUAGACUAGCAUCAGUUCAUCACAUAAAACUCUUUCUUGGGAGAUCAAGAAUGGGUUCAAGGCACGGGAUCAAAGAGAAAUCGAGACGGAGAUUGGAGCAAGGAAAAUUGAGAAGUUUUCUUUACUUUUAUCUUCAUACUUGUAUUUAGUCUUUGAGUUCUUGAUUUUUAUAAUGAAUAUGAUGAACUAAUUUGUCUCUAGGGUUGGAUUUUAUUAAAAAGUAUUGGUUAUUUAUUUUAGUUAAAUUCUUUACGUUUGCCUUAAUUUAUCUAUUUUGACUUAAUUAUAUGUUAUGCUUGAUCACCAUAGACAUGCUCUUAGAUUUUGUGUUGAACUAAAAAGGGACAUACAACCAUGCAUAAGAUGAAUAAAUAUAUUUAGCCUAAUUAUGAGAAUAGAUUAGAUUUUGUAUAACAUAAUUGAAAUCACCUAAGAUCUUAAAGGGUUUAAUUAAAUAAUUAUGGUCUUGAGAGAGAUGUAAGAUAUAAUUGGGCACAAUUUAGAUGUAUUAAUAGAUAAUAUAAAACACCUUUGCAUGAUACAUUCUUGGCAUGUUAAUAAAUUAGUUGGAUAAUUAAUUCAAAUUCUGGAUCAAAAUCUAAAACUCUAGUCUCUUGCCAAUUAUUUUCUCGCAUCUUUUUUAUUUGACUUGAUCAUUUAUUUUACCUCUUAAUUAGAAAUUAAAUCCUUUAAAUUUAAAUUUCAUUGUCUUCUCAUAAUAAUUAUAGUAGAGAAAACACUCCUAACCUAGGAAAAGUCAAUUCAAAAGGAGAAUGCACGACUGAAGCGAAGAAAUAGCUAGAUAUGAGAUGAUUUUAUUAUACAAUCGAUCCUAUGCAGUAGCACAAAUAGCGGAUCAAUUUUUAUCACCGAAUUGUAGCCACUACACUCUGGGCUUAUCCUUAUAGAACUCCUCUUCAGCGAGAAUCAAUCUUGUGUAUUCCUAGAUAACAACUUUCUCUGCAGCAAUUAACUCCGGAUCAAAAGGUUGCUAUUGCAUAUGCUGCUGCAUUAUUAUCAGUUGCUUUUUUUUUUUUUUUGCUUUGAACUCCACCAGAGAUGUGGUUAUAGUCUCUUUUAUUCAGCUCUUGAAGCUUACCCAUAAGCUGUUUUAGUUCAAAACAGAUAAGCUGUAUGGGAUUUAUUAACACUCCAGGAUCAGCUUGCCAAGAAUCCAACAGGACAUCAAAAAACUCAUGCUACAUCCAAAAGCUAAUGAAUUUAAAAAGCUUUGGCCCAAAGUUAACUUGAUCUAGCUAUAUAUUCAGAUUGGUAAUGAAGCGACCAAAAAUUGUUAGUCUUAAUGUUUGGAAAGUGCUACUCUUUCUCAUAUCUAUAGGAUUGCAAAGGAAUAAAGUUAUCUCGGUCAAAACUUGUGUAGGGUAUUUAAAAAUUUAUAAAUGUAAAAUUUGACUACGUAUUGAGUUUAAUUUUGUAUGCCCCAUGCACAUCAAGCUCUAUUCCAUAGUUUGAAAUAUGUCAAUCCCAGACCUCCUUCAUACUUUGGUUUACAAACUUCUGCCCAAAUAACUUUUGCAUGUGUCCUCACUCCUCAGCUCCACUCCAGACCAUAGAAAGGCAUUCAAAAUACUCUCCACCUUUGCAACAGACAACUUGGGGAGGACAAAUAAACAAAAAGGCUAUUAAGUAUAAAUUCAAGUAAAAUGAGCCUUCCUCCAUAAGAGAGUUUCCAAGCUGCCCAACUUUUAAUUAUAGCCCCUAUUUUAUCAAGAAUAGGCUAGCAGUCAAUAGCACUUAGCCGAGUAGAUAUUAAAGGAACACUUAGGUAUCAAACUAGAAAGUGUCCCAAGCGAAUCCCCACAGCUUCAUUCAACUUCACACAUUGCUAGUUAGAUACACCGGCUGCAAAAAUCUCUGAUUUAGCCAGGUUUGGUUGAAGACUCGACAUCUCAGAGAAUUCUUUCAAAGUGGCCUGAAUCCCAUAUCGAUUUUGAGUCUAUUUGUAAGAUUAAUUGGUAUAAAUUGUCCAUUUUAUGUCACUAAUUUGCACCUUAAGUGAUUAAUGGAUUAGUUGUGAUUUUAUCAUUUCACUUGCAAAUUUCUUUGGUUUUGUAGGAAAAAUGAUUAAGCUUAAUUGGACGUGCAAUGAGCUGGGAUGAGAAGCUUGAGGAGUCACAACAAUGGCUAAAAGAAAUGGUGCAAGGAAAGCAUGAAGCUUGGAAGAAAGAAAGAAGGAAACAAAGAAGAAAAAAAACUAGAGAGAAACCGCGGGAGAAUCCGCCUGCGGUUUCUCCCACAGUUUGUGGCCAGUGAAUCAUUUUGUAGCAAAUCAUUUGUUCUGCACAAUCCCUGGGAGAAUCCCUCGAGGGAUUUGAUCCAGGAAUUCAUGGUAGCUGCAACUCACCAACUUGCAUGGUUUUUCUUUCUUUUUUUUUUUUUUGUGGACAAGACACAAAAAGACAUUUUGUACCAACUUUUGGAGGAUCUAAGAGUUUCUUUUGUUGACUCUUAACAAGGAAGAAACAUGUUAUUGGAGAGGGAGAUUAGUUCUUGACAAGAGAGAGAGCUUUUUCUUCUCUUUUUUUUAGUUUUAGCUUACUGAUAGUUUUAGAUCUAAUUUUCUUUUUAUCUUCAAAAACUUGAAGAACUCUUGAUGAACAAUGUAUUUUUUAUUGCAAUGAAAAUGAUGAAACUUGAAGAUCUUGUUUCUUCACUUGAAUAAGUAUUUCUUUCUCUUUACUCUCUUUGUUGUGCCAUUAAUUCUUAGUUACAUUGAAGACACGAGUUUUAUUAUUAAAUCUACUAUGUCUAGCUAAAUCUUCUUGUUUUAGGGGUAGAUGAAGCUAUUUGUGCCUUGAUUAUGGUUGAAUAAAGUUGAUUAUUGUUAUAUCUUGCACUUGCUAGUUCAUUUAUUUUUACUUUAACACUUGUAAAUGCUUAAUCACCAUUUACAAACCAUGAUAGUUGUUGUUAAUCUAUGAGAAUAAUUAACAAUGAUGAAAUAGAAUAGGUAAACCUAAUGAGUAGACACACGAAAAUAAUGGUACACUUAGGUGGAUAUUUUUGGCAUUUCUAGAUCUAGAUUAAGUCUUCACUUUAGAUUUCACCAUGAGAGUAAGGAAAGUAUAGUGUUGGCUAAGUUCAGUUCAUUGGCGAGAACGAGUUCUGAAGACUUGAGUGAAAUACAUCCUUAGCAAGACAAAACCAUGAGUGAUAAUUGGCUAUUUCAUCCAUAGUUAGGUACAUUUAGUGGAAUCUAUACCCUAGGACAUUUGUCUUUAGUUGAGUUUCUUCAAGUUGUUAAUUUGCCUUGCAUUAUUUUAGCUUUUGAUGGUUUCACUUAGUUAAAAUUCUUGAGUAGUUUAGAUAAUAAAGUGAGCAAAAAACCUUAGUAGUUGAGAGUGAUUCUCGUGGGAUUCGACCUUAUUUCCUUUGUACUACAAUACACGAUCCGUUAACAAGGGAAUUAGGUUUAAAAAUUAGAGUGCAAGUAUAAAUCUCGUCAAGGAUUUAUGAGAUGGAAUAGCCAUAAUGAACAAAUCAUCAACAAAGGAAAUAUGGUAUGAUUUCAUCUCUGAACAUCUGGGGUGGUAUUCAAACCCCAUCUCUUCAAUGUUUGCAUCCAUAAUCUGAGAAAACGCUUCCAUUACUACCAAGACAAAGGUGAGUAGAUAUAAAAUGUCCUUGCCUCAACCCUCUACAACUUGCAAAUUAGCCAACAAGGAAGCCAUUUAGGUUGAGAGAGAAUCUAGUAGUCAUAGCACAGUUUUUUGCGCAAUAAAUAAGGUAGAGGAGAAGUUCAUAAGUUUGAGAACCGUGAAAAAAGAAACAGCCAUCUAACUGUAUCAUAUGCUUUCGUGAUGUCAACUUUCAGAACACAUCUUGCUUUUCUCCCUUUCUUAUGAUAAUUUCUCACCAACUCAUGCAUCAAUAGGACAUUAUCUGAAAUAUUUCAACCUUUUAAAAAGGCACUUUGCCUCUUAGAUAUCAGACCUUCCAAAAUUUGUUUAAAUAAUUCAGUAAGCACCCUAGAAAUUAGAAUAUAUUUCUUAGAGUGCGUUGCAACAAGCAACAAGACCAUAUUCCUUCAUUCCCACGGGUGAAGCUAUCUUGGGAACCAAAGUGAUGAUUGUACUAUUCAAUCCUAUAGCCAUAUGCUGAGUAUGAAAACAGUACUAUAUAGCAUUAAUCAAACCAGCACCUAAUAGUCAUCAAUUUUUAUUGAAAAAAUCCACAGUGAAAGCAUCAGGCUCUGGUGAAGUACCUUCUUUCAUGCUGAAUAAAGCUUGCUGAAUCUCUAAGUCAGUAAUUUUCUGAAUCAACUUUGCCCCUUGCUUUUUGGUUAAUCUAUUUUUAAUAAUCUUGGAUAACCUAUGCUCCAUAGUUUCAGAGAAGGAACCAUGUUUAGAAAAUGAUUACAAAUAAUAUCCAACUACUUCCCUCUUCACAUUUUCACAGUCUGUAAAGCCUUAUAUACUCAGAGUUUGUGAGACUUAAGAUUUUGUUGUGAGAAUGGUAAAUUUUCAACUUUCUAUGGAAAAAUGUGAUAGGGUAUAAAAUGUAGUGUAUUUAUAUGUAUAAGUUGCUAGUUAAUUAUGUUAUUUGAGCUUUAUUUUGAAUGGAAACUACUUUAUUUUGUUAUUAUAUUGGUCUAAUAAGUGAAAAUCUUGACUGGACAGAAAAUAGACAAAAAUAUGGCGAAGAAGCAAUGGAAGAAGAAUACUUGAAGAGUAAGGGGUUUGACUGGAUUGACAUGUUUCAUUAUUUUGGCAAUAACUUGAGUUACACAAAUUGGAUUGAUAUAAUUCUUGAUUCACUUUGAAGUAAGAGAAAGAUCUACAACUUUUAUGAGAUAUCAAAGUCCAGUUCUCAUGUUUUCAUAACAAACAAUCCAAAAUACUAAAAUAUAGUUUUGCUAUGAUGCUCUUCUGAUUAGUUUUCAGUAUUUUAGACAUAUCUUAGUGUCCAGAUCUCCAAAUGAUAUGAUUGUUAUGGCAUGGGAAAGCUAAUUUAAAGGACUACAACUUUCAUGUUUGCAAGAGUUGAUUCAGCCUCUUUGAUCGAGUUUUUUUGGCUUCAAAUAUGAUCCACAUGUAGAUCUAUAGUGAUCCAUUCAUGGCUCUGUUAUAACCGACGCCGACUAUGCAUUCGGUCUUCAGGCCGAGCUUCCUGUAAUCCUAAUGUUCGGUGCCAAACUUUGGGCUGGACUUUAUUGAAAAAAUAUACGAAAAUGUUAUUUUUUAGUUCCAAUAAACCCAAUCCUAUUCCAUUUGAGAUACUACUUUAAGAAACUAUAAAUAAGCGCUAUCGAGGACGUUUUUGGAGGUCAGAAAAUAUUAGGCUACAUUAGUUCAUCCUUUUUACAUCUUCUUUUCUUGAUAGAUCAAGGAUGAAGCGUGGAAGAAUAAAAAAGGAAGAUCAAGACGGGGACCAAAGCAUAGAAAAUUGAGAAGUUUUCUUUACUUUAUCUUCUUGCUUGUAUCUUUUCUUUGAAUUCUUGGUUUUAAUUAUGAAUAUGUUGAGCUCAAUUUUCUAGGCUUAGAGUUUUAUGAAGGAGAUUUGAUUACUUAUCUUAGUUAAAUUCUUUACUUUUGUCUUGAUUUAUUUAUUUUUGAUUUAAUUGCAUGUUUGUGAUUGGCCACGUACUAUAGACAUGCCCUUAAUGCUUGUAUUAAACUAAAAAGGGAUAUACAACCGUGCACUAGAUAAAUUAACAUAUUUAAUCUAAUUAUGAGAGUAGGUUAGCAGUUGUUUGACGUAAUUAUAUCACCUAAGAUCUUAAAGGGUUUAAUUAAAUACUUAUGAUCUCGAGAGAGACAUGCGAUUUAAUUAAGCAUAACUUAGAUAUAUCCAGAGAUAAUCUAAGGUAUUUGCGUGUAAUACAUUGUUGGCAUGUUGAGAAAAAUAAUGGGAUGAUUAAUUUAAAUUUUGUAUAAAAAUCUAAAACCCUAGACUCUUGCCAACCAUUUUCUCAACUCUAUUUAAUUUGCCUUGAUUAUUUGUUCAUUUUUUUUAGUUAUAGAUUGAAACCCCUAUGAAUUUGAAUUUUAUUAUUUGUCUAGAAUAAUUAAAGUAGAGAAAAUUAACUCGUCCGUAUAGAUUCUAUUUUGGAAUACUAUAGGUAAUUUAUUACUACAAUCGAUCCUAUGUGUUUACAGGAAUUCAUUGAUCAAAAUGCCGUGUUGGCAUCACCCUCUUCCAACCAUUUGACUCUCGAUUUAUCCUUAUAAAAGCUCUCCUCAUCUUGCAUCCUCAUUCAUAGUCUGUAUAUGAUUUUGCUUUCUCAAUAUAAAUUUUGGCCAACACAAUUCCAAAAAGUUCCUAAAUGUCCCCAACACGGUUGGUGAAAAGCCCCAAAAGUCCUUAUAGUUACCUUCUAAACUCGAUGUAAUAUCACUGCAGCUAAGCCUGUAGAGGUUUUAUAAAUAUAUGAUUUUGAGUUUAGCUUAAGUCUAUCAAUAAAACGAUAAAGAAUAUUUUAAAAUCUUUGCUUAUCCUCCUUAUUUUGAACAUUAUAAAUGUUGUUAUUACUUAUUAUGAGUUUACUAUAAAAAUUUAAAGAAGUAAAAAAUUAUAAAUUCCUAAAUUAGUGAACUAAAGAUUCCCUCUUUGAAGAAAAUAAAUUACUGAAGUCCUAUUGCAAGAUUUACCAGAAGAAGAACUCUAACAAGGAGAGUAUAUAUAUGCCGAGUUACUAAAAGCAUAGACAAAUAAAAAAGACACAAGGGUCAGGAAAACAUCUUUGUUUGGAUAUGAAGUUAUUUGCAACAAUAAAAAAAUAAAAAAAAUUAAUUGCAUCAUAAAUACGUUUUCUAAUUAUCUUUUUAUCUUUCUAGCCACCUUUUUAAUCUCAUAUCUAUCAUAUCACAAAGAGUGUUACGAUGUUAUUUCAAAAUAUUAUUCCAAAUAAUUUCCUAUUCGUACGCACUCAAAUAGCUCAAUCUUCAAUAAAUUACGCAUAACCCUAUAUGCAGAUUCCUAGAUUACAACAUAAACCCUAGUUUUAGAUUCUUUCCUUCUUUCAUCCUUUCAAGUUCUUGAGUUGCACCACAUCUUUUAACUACUGCUGUAAUUUCUCAAGCUUCUAAUCAUCGCUUUGUUAGUCCACCAUUUCACUUCCAAUUGAUCUUGUUCAUUUUACCCUACAAAACAAAGAGAUUUUGCGAGUAAAAUGACAAAAUCAUAGUUAAUUCAUCUAUCAACUUAAGGUGCAAAUCAAAGACUAAAAUAAGCAACUUGCACCAUUUAACUUCACAAAUUGACUCAAAAACAAUAUAACGCACCUACAAAAAUAUCCACAACUUGAGCUUAUAUCAGAAACGAACACUUUUUAUACUUCUGGCAUGGUUCUUAUAGAAUGAGUAGCGUAGUUUUGUUAAUUGGCAUGCAUAAUGGCUGUUUUUGAACAUUCGAAUCUACAUUAUCUUCACAAUAGAUUGUCGUAUUUCCAAAAUGAGAAAGCUGCUUUAUUUCAUUCGGUUUAAUACAUUUUUUGAUUGUUGGCAACAAAGUUUUGCAAUUUGGCAUUGAAACACAACUUCUUGACUUUCUCUUGCUUUUAUUGUGUAAAAAUGAUUACAAACCAAUGGAAUUUCCAUUUAAAAAUUUAAUAACCAAUUAAGAAAAUGACUUGCUCUUUUGGUGUAAUUGUUAGUCAUCUUCUUUUACAUCAACUCAUUAAGUAAUACAUCAAAUCAAAUACAAAAUGCAUAAGUUAUUACAUGACUGAAAUUAGCAUAUUCAAGCUGAAAGUUUUUUUUUUUAUUUCAACCCUCCAUCCCAUCCCCAACUGUCAACUUCAUGAUUCAAACUAUAAACCUGAUAGCUCUUAGCCACUGGACCAACCCUACAGAGUGGUAUCAAGCCCGCCAAAAGUUUGAAUGAUGAUAAAAUAAUGACAUAAAAUUAUAGGCCGAGCUAUAAUAAUUAGGCUAGUUGGUGUAUAUUUUCACACUGACCUCAUCAAGGACGUGUAAAAACGUGUUCCAUGCUGGUGGACCAUGAUUUUGGUAAUUAGGUCCGGCAUUACCACAAAUUAAUUUAUGGUGUAGAGUAUCACAUUCUUAGGCCUAUAAAUACAAGGAGUCUGGUUCUCUGCUACCAAGUUUUCGACAGUCACCAGUUACAAAUAUCUAUUUCCAUUCUUAUUAGUUAGCUAGCUAGUCCUUUAAGAAGAAUAUGGCUGCAGCCAAAUCUGGUACUGGCAGUGGACAGGUGAAUAGUGACUGUAUGCCUUGCUAGACUGGAUUUCUUUGUUUUUCAAGUUUGUGUGUGCAUGGUUUUCGGAGUCAACUUAUAAACAACUCGUAUAGAAACGUUUGAAAAAGUAUGAGGAGUUGCAAAUUAAAGUAAUUUCAACAUUCUUGAGUCGACUUGAUUAGCAAUAUUUUAUGUUUCUAGUUGUCUACAUGCAGCGGUCUCUUGAAUUGUUUGAUAAAUAAGCUUCUUCCGAGCAAUGUCGUUUCUUAUUAAUUGAUUGGUUGGAUUUAGUUUUCUGGUUGCUCCUUUGUUUGAAAGGACUCUAAUUGAUUUUGGGAACUCAAUUGUGUUGGGUUUUCUUACUGAAAAAUGUUUGGGGUUUGCAGAAAGACGAACCUAUUAUUCCUGUGGCGUCAACCGUCAAACCGAAAGACGAUAAGGUGAUUGAGAUUGCACAAUUUGCAGUUGUAACGUACAAUAAGCAGGCCGGGACCGAUCUGGUUUUCAUCAAUGUGGAAUUCGGCUUCUGGUGGAGCAUUUCUGGUGCCACUUACUACAUGCUUGCCAUUAAAGCUCAGGAUGAUAAGGGCACAUAUUGCGACGUAGCGUUGGUUGCUGAUAUACUAGAGAGUGGUGGUCAUCACACUUAUAAGCUCAUCUGGUACAAUCAUAAGAAAAAUGUUUGGGGUUUGCAGAAAGACCAACCUAUUAUUCCUCCGGCGACAACCGUCAAUCCGGAAGACCCUCAUGUGAUUGAGAUUGCACAAUUUGCAGUUGUAACGUACAAUAAGCAGGCCGGGACCGAUCUGGUUUUCAUCAAAGUGGAAUUCGGCUUCCGGUGGGGCAAUCUUGGUGCCACUGACUACAUGCUUGCCAUUAAAACUCAGGAUGAUAAGGGCACAUAUUGCGACGUAGCGUUGGUUGCUGAUAUAGUGGUGAGCGGUGGUCACACUUAUGACCUCAUCUGGUACAAUCAUAACAAUAAUUAAUCAAGCACUACUCUUGAUCAGCUGAGGAGUGAGGAUCGACGAUUUUAAGUACUUUAAUUAUCUAGUGUUUAUGGUGUGGUUUUCAGUUUAUGCAUGGAUGAUGUACUGCUGGCAUGCAAACAUCCUCCCACUGUUGUACUAGUGUGUAAUGUAAGGUGCACUUCUACCAACAAAAAUGCACCGUUAAAUAAAAAAAUCCGUCUGUAUUUGAGUACGUGUCCUUGUACUAAUAUGUCAAAGGUGCACUUGUACGAACAAAAAUGCACCAUUAAAUAAAUAGAAACAGCUGUACGAGUUUGAGUUUG